CCUACGGGGUGCAGCAGUGGGGAAUAUUGCACAAUGGGGGAAACCCUGAUGCAGCGAAGCCGCGUGAGUGAAGAAGUUUUUCGGUAUGUAAAGCCCUAUCAGCAGGGGAGAAAAUGCCGGUACCUGAUUACUAAGCCCCGGCUCACUACAUUCCAGCAGCCGCGGUACUACGUAGGGAGCAAGGGUAAUCCGGAUUAUCUGGGUGUCAAGGGAUCGUAGACGGCAGCACAAGUCUGGAGUGAAAUGCCGGGGCUUCAACCCGGAACUGCUUUUGAAACUGUGCAGCUAGAGUGCAGGAGAGGUAAGUGGAAUUCCUAGUGUAGCGGUGAAAUGCGUAGAUAUUAGGAGGAACACCAGUGGCGAAGGCGGCUUACUGGACUGUAACUGACGUUGAGGCUCGAAAGCGUGGGUAGCAAACAGGAUUAGAUACCCCUGUAGUC
This 440-nucleotide ribosomal RNA is filed under the name uncultured bacterium. RNAcentral describes it as "partial 16S ribosomal RNA". It matches the Rfam family "Bacterial small subunit ribosomal RNA", at positions 338 to 795 of the family's 1533-position model. The record is from RNAcentral.